AUUGAACGCUGGCGGCAGGCCUAACACAUGCAAGUCGAGCGGAUGAAGGGAGCUUGCUCCUGGAUUCAGCGGCGGACGGGUGAGUAAUGCCUAGGAAUCUGCCUGGUAGUGGGGGAUAACGUCCGGAAACGGGCGCUAAUACCGCAUACGUCCUGAGGGAGAAAGUGGGGGAUCUUCGGACCUCACGCUAUCAGAUGAGCCUAGGUCGGAUUAGCUAGUUGGUGGGGUAAAGGCCUACCAAGGCGACGAUCCGUAACUGGUCUGAGAGGAUGAUCAGUCACACGGGAACUGAGACACGGUCCAGACGCCUACGGGAGGCAGCAGUGGGGAAUAGUGGACAAUGGGCGAAAGCCUGAUCCAGCCAUGCCGCGUGUGUGAAGAAGGUCUUCGGAUUGUAAAGCACUUUAAGUGGGGAGGAAGGGCAGUAAGUUAAUACCUUGCUGUUUUGACGUUACCAACAGAAUAAGCACCGGCUAACUUCGUG
This 484-nucleotide ribosomal RNA is filed under the name uncultured bacterium. RNAcentral's name for it is "partial 16S ribosomal RNA". It matches the Rfam family "Bacterial small subunit ribosomal RNA", at positions 30 to 507 of the family's 1533-position model. The record is from RNAcentral.